This 432-nucleotide ribosomal RNA is filed under the name uncultured bacterium. RNAcentral describes it as "bacterial SSU rRNA". It matches the Rfam family "Bacterial small subunit ribosomal RNA", at positions 958 to 1392 of the family's 1533-position model. The record is from RNAcentral.
UACGCGAAGAACCUUACCAAGUCUUGACAUCCCUCUGACCGGUCCGUAACGGGACCUUCCCUUCGGGACAGAGGAGACAGGUGGUGCAUGGUUGUCGUCAGCUCGUGUCGUGAGAUGUUGGGUUAAGUCCCGCAACGAGCGCAACCCUUGUCAUUAGUUGCCAUCAUUUAGUUGGGCACUCUAGUGAGACUGCCGGGGAUAACUCGGAGGAAGGUGGGGAUGACGUCAAAUCAUCAUGCCCCUUAUGUUCUGGGCUACACACGUGCUACAAUGGCCGGUACAGAGAGAAGCAAUAUCGCGAGGUGGAGCAAAUCUUCAAAACCGGUCCCAGUUCGGAUUGCAGGCUGCAACUCGCCUGCAUGAAGUCGGAGUUGCUAGUAAUCGCGAAUCAGAAUGUCGCGGUGAAUGCGUUCCCGGGUCUUGUACACACCG